GGGAGGCAGCAGUAAGGAAUAUUGCGCAAUGGUCGAAAGACUGACGCAGCGACGCCGCGUGUGGGAGGAAGCCCUUCGGGGUGUAAACCACUGUCGGGAGGGACGAAUCCCGGGCGAGCAAAUAGCUCGAACGGUUGACGGUACCUCCAAAGGAAGCACCGGCUAACCCUGUGCCAGCAGCCGCGGUAAUACAGGGGGUGCAAGCGUUGUUCGGAAUUACUGGGCGUAAAGCGCGGGCAGGUGGCCUUUUAAGUCCUUUGUGAAAUCCCGGAGCUCAACUCCGGAUGUGCAUAGGAUACUGGAAGGCUCGAGACUGGUAGAGGCGAGCGGAAUUCCUGGUGUAGCGGUGGAAUGCGUAGAUAUCAGGAAGAACACCGGUGGCGAAGGCGGCUCGCUGGGCCAGUUCUGACACUCAUCCGCGAAAGCGUGGGGAGCAAACAGGAUUAGAUACCCUCGUAC
RNAcentral lists this ribosomal RNA (459 nucleotides) under uncultured bacterium. RNAcentral's name for it is "bacterial SSU rRNA". It matches the Rfam family "Bacterial small subunit ribosomal RNA", at positions 343 to 793 of the family's 1533-position model. The record is from RNAcentral.